UGGGGAAUAUUGCACAAUGGACGGAAGUCUGAUGCAGCAACGCCGCGUGCGGGAUGACGGCCUUCGGGUUGUAAACCGCUUUUUCUCAUGACGAAGUUUUUUGACGGUAGUGGGGGAAGAAGCACCGGCUAACUACGUGCCAGCAGCCGCGGUGAUACGUAGGGUGCGAGCGUUGUCCGGAAUUAUUGGGCGUAAAGAGCUUGUAGGCGGUUUGUCGCGUCGAUAGUGCAAACUCAGUGCUUAACGCUGAGCCUGCUGUUGAUACGGGCAGACUAGAGGAAGGUAGGGGAGAAUGGAAUUCCCGGUGGAGCGAUGGAAUGCGCAGAUAUCGGGAGGAACACCGGUGGCGAAGGCGGUUCUCUGGGCCUUUCCUGACGCUGAGAAGCGAAAGCGUGGGGUGCGAACAGG
This 408-nucleotide ribosomal RNA is filed under the name Fusobacteriota bacterium. RNAcentral's name for it is "Fusobacteria bacterium partial 16S ribosomal RNA". It matches the Rfam family "Bacterial small subunit ribosomal RNA", at positions 355 to 776 of the family's 1533-position model. Lineage: Bacteria; Fusobacteriati; Fusobacteriota. The record is from RNAcentral.